AGCCAUUCCAGCUGACGAGACAAUCAGUAAAAGCCUACGGCCAGUUUUAUCCACCAGCCAUGUAGAAACAGCAGUGGCAACCACCUGGAUAGCACCAAAACCUAAAGUUGCAGCAUCACUUGAAGAAAUCCCGGCCGAUAGGAAAAUGUUACUGGAAUAGAAGAUCACACCAUUGGUUCCGCUGAGUUGUUGUAGGACAAGCAGUCCAAUGCCUAUCAUGAGAGGCAG
RNAcentral lists this unclassified non-coding RNA (228 nucleotides) under Hevea brasiliensis (rubber tree). The record is from RNAcentral. Lineage: Eukaryota; Viridiplantae; Streptophyta; Magnoliopsida; Malpighiales; Euphorbiaceae.